RNAcentral lists this ribosomal RNA (403 nucleotides) under Fusobacteriota bacterium. RNAcentral's name for it is "Fusobacteria bacterium partial 16S ribosomal RNA". It matches the Rfam family "Bacterial small subunit ribosomal RNA", at positions 355 to 776 of the family's 1533-position model. The record is from RNAcentral. Lineage: Bacteria; Fusobacteriati; Fusobacteriota.
UGGGGAAUAUUGCACAAUGGGGGAAACCCUGAUGCAGCGACGCCGCGUGAGCGAAGAAGGUUUUCGAAUCGUAAAGCUCUGUCCUAUGGGAAGAUAAUGACGGUACCAUAGGAGGAAGCCCCGGCUAACUACGUGCCAGCAGCCGCGGUAAUACGUAGGGGGCAAGCGUUGUCCGGAAUCACUGGGCGUAAAGGGUUCGCAGGCGGAAAUGCAAGUCAGUUGUGAAAGGCAGAGGCUCAACCUCUGUAAGCAAUUGAAACUGUAUUUCUUGAGAUGUGGAGAGGCAAGUGGAACUCCUAGUGUAGCGGUGAAAUGCGUAGAUAUUAGGAAGAAUACCGGUGGCGAAGGCGACUUGCUGGACACAAACUGACGCUGAGGAACGAAAGCGUGGGUAGCAAACAGG